GACGAACGCUGGCGGCGCGCUUAACACAUGCAAGUCGAACGGAAAGGCCUGCUUUCCCUUGUGGAUUGCGGGUACUCGAGUGGCGAACGGGUGAGUAACACGUGAGUGAUCUGCCCCCAACUUGGGUAUAAGCCUGGGAAACUGGGUCUAAUUCCCGAUAGGACUGCAGGGUGGUGCCUGUGGUGGAAAACGAUUUUCUAGUGGUUGGGGAUGAGCUCGCGGCCUAUCAGCUUGUUGGUGGGGUAAUGGCCUACCAAGGCGGCGACGGGUAGCCGGCCUGAGAGGGUGGACGGCCACAUUGGGACUGAGAUACGGCCCAGACUCCUACGGGAGGCAGCAGUGGGGAAUAUUGCACAAUGGGCGGAAGCCUGAUGCAGCGACGCCGCGUGGGGGAUGACGGCCUUCGGGUUGUAAACUCCUUUCGACCGCGAGGAAGCCACCUGGUUGGAAGGGUGGUGACGGUAGUGGUGGAAGAAGCACCGGCUAACUACGUG
RNAcentral lists this ribosomal RNA (494 nucleotides) under uncultured bacterium. RNAcentral describes it as "partial 16S ribosomal RNA". It matches the Rfam family "Bacterial small subunit ribosomal RNA", at positions 28 to 507 of the family's 1533-position model. The record is from RNAcentral.